ACACAGCGGUAUUUACCAUACAGAGCUGGUAGACAGAUUGUGCGACGUUCGGGUGAGUUUACGUGGCUUCUAGUGAAGAAGAGGGGGCCUGACCAUCAGUGAUUGCCUUUCCUGACAACGCCUGGCCUGACUCUCAAGGGCUCUGCCAUAUGUCAUAUAGCAGAAGCCGUCAUGAAAGCGCAGCAGAACAUCUGGACCUUCCUGGAGAGGCUUGCUUCACAUUCCUUCCCUCAAAGCCAAAUUGAUUGGCCUUGACCUGGGGCCACACCAGGAGAAGGCACCUUCUGGGGCAAGGGUGCCUCGCAGUGCCUGGCUGAAGGCAGUCACCACAUGGUCCAGGAAGCCUGAGGAAUGAUAGGGAAUUCCAAAGAUGCCUGGAAUCCAUCACCUCUCCAUUCCCUGAAUUAUCUAGCAUGCCUGGAGGUCCUAUAAUCAAUGUCCACCACAUCACCGGGAAGCUUAACUCUGCAUUGAAAACAUCUGUUUCACAAAAUGAGAAAAGGAAGGAGGCUAGAGCAAUGGCUCAGCGAAAAGUAAUGAGCACUUGCUAUACUUCCAGAGUACUAGGGUAAGCAUGGACAAGGGUAAGGAGACAGGAAACCCUUACUCUUGAAUGGUGCAAACAUAAAUUCACUAUUUAGCUCCUAUAGAAAACAUAAAAAAUUGAUCCAUCUGGCUGGCAAGAGCAAGCUAUCUGGUUCAGUCAAAUUACAAUGUUAUAUACUACAUAAAUGUAGUUUAGGCUUGUCAAAUAUAUAUCAAUGAAAUUAUGAAAGAGAAAAACAAAUAAAGACUCAGCUUGCAGCCAUA
This is a long non-coding RNA of Myodes glareolus (Bank vole), 810 nucleotides long. RefSeq lists it as uncharacterized. The record is from RefSeq and is a predicted model, not a curated record. NCBI's taxonomy places the organism in Eukaryota, Metazoa, Chordata, Mammalia, Rodentia, Cricetidae.